AGAUGAGAAGGCACAGACAUUAAGGAGAAUGCCUGUGAAGACAUAGACAGAGAUUGGAGUUAUGCUGCCAAGGAAUAUCUGGAGCCAUCAGAAGCUGGAAGAGGCAAGGAAGGAUUCUCCACUGGAGUUUUCUGAGGGAUGCCAACAGGCUGCUUAGUUGAUUCACGAGAAGACUAUGAGUAGGGAGAAAAGUUAAAACCCAGUCCCACAGAUUAAUCCAAUAAAGAAUAGAAGAGAAAAUUUAAUUUCAAGUUUUGUUAAUCAGAAUUACCUGGGGACUUGUUAACACAGAAGUCACUGAGCCCCAAUUCCAGAGUUUCUGAAGUCUGGGGAAGGCUCAAGAAUCUGUGUUUCUAUUAAGUUCACAACUGAUGCUGAUGCUGCUGGUCUGAGUGAAAUACAUGGAGAACCACUGACAAUGACCUCAGAGAACACGUGUACACUUCUGAAUAUGCUUGAGACCUUAAGAUGUCAAUAUGGUAGUGGUUUUAACUUGGACAGGGUAUCCAAAAUGUGAUAUAAGUGCUAAGUCUUACCCAUCCAGAAAGUAGAGUUGAGAUUGUUGACAAGUUUCUAUCUCAGGCAAGUGUCAUGUAAGGAACUAGGGUUGGACUGAAUCUGUAAUAAUGAAGUGACGGCAUUGACUCGAAGUCCAGGUGGGAGAUAUUGGGGAGGGAAGACUUGUUUGAAAUAAAUCCAGGGGUCUGAAACGUUCUACUCCUUCUGAGUGGAGGUAAGUGUGGCACACAAUCUUUUAAAUAUACAAAGGACAGAAACACUGCCAGAACAUAAAACUGAAU
This 800-nucleotide long non-coding RNA is filed under the name Pongo abelii (Sumatran orangutan). RNAcentral's name for it is "lincRNA". The record is from RNAcentral. Lineage: Eukaryota; Metazoa; Chordata; Mammalia; Primates; Hominidae.